CAGGGGAAGCUGAAGGGGCUGAUCCAAAGACAUGGAAGGCUUCUCUGGAGAAGUUGGCUGAUGUCUUUGAAGAUGAAGGCUGCUGUUAAGAUCUGUGUUUCAUGUUUUUGAAAAGGGAACAGGAGAUUAGAAGCAUCCCUGUGCCCUUGGGGGGUGCCAAGAAAUAUGUGAACAUACCUCUCUCGGAUGCGGCCCCCUUGGACCAUCUUUUCUGCCGAAACGCUGGAGUCCCAGGAAGCAAGGCAUCCACCCGCACGCGCAUGUGCAGUGAUACGCUCUAGAGCGGCCCUUGGUGAAGACGGUGCGGAGCAGAGCAACUGGGGCGCGGAGCUGAUGCUUCCAACCGCGGAGAACAGGAUAAGGCAGCCAGAGGGAUCGCAUAUGACAGUAGUGUGCGCCCUCCACUGCCCCCCACCAGCUGCUGCUCAGGGUUCCUUGAUGAAGAUGCUUUGAGAAUUUUAGGCCCCAAGCUUUCCUCACAUUUCGGCAGAAGGUCUGAGUCACCCUGCCACGUAAAGAACCAUGUCCAGAUGAGAUGUGGCUGAGGACAAAGGAAAAUGCACAGGCUAGCAGAAGAAGGAAAUUCUCAAUACCAAUGCUGUCUCCUGAUCAGUUGCAGAAAGGAAGUCUUUUUGUGGUGAACCCUAUAAUUGGGCAUUUAAGUUGCUGGAUAUCAAAGGAAGAUUGCAUCUGGACUAGGAGUGAAUGUUCCCAGAGCUGAAGCCACACAUGGCAUAUUCCGUGUCUUUGUCUUUCUUUUUAGGGGGCAGGUCAGAACUUCUUAAAUCAUGCACGUCUUAGAUGGUGAUGGGGCGGUUUUCAGAUUGGUACUUGUGGAGUCCACGAGGGGCAAACAACCUCACCCUCGAG
Molecule: long non-coding RNA, 870 nt
Organism: Mirounga angustirostris (Northern elephant seal)
Lineage: Eukaryota; Metazoa; Chordata; Mammalia; Carnivora; Phocidae
Exons: 5
Source: RefSeq, a predicted model, not a curated record